CAAUGGACCUCCUUUGACCUAUUCUGGGAACAAUUCUUCACUGGAGCCCCAACCCCCAAGAUUCUUACCACUCUGCGUCCUGUGGAACAGGAGCACUGACAUCGCCCAGGAGCCUGUCAGAAAUGCGGAACCUCAAGCUCUAACCUGGACUUACUGAGUCAGAAUCUCCGUGUCAACAAGACCUGCAGGGAGCUCCAGAACCUAGGAAGUGACUAAUGAUAUUGCAUGAGAUAGAUUAACUUAAUUCUUUCAUCAUCAAUUUUUGUUUGUGACUACAUGGUAACAACCAUAAAAAUAGAGACUAAACGUUCAUUGCUUGGAGCGUUCUACUUUCCUGUUGUGCAGCAGGACGAUGCAGCUAUGUUCCAUAAUUUAAAGAAUGCCUAUAUACUCCAUGAGCAUCAUGAUGAUUCAGCAAUUCAACUUUAUGCAACGAAAGCAAAAAGAAGAAAAGUAGAAUAUUCAGAUUCUGACUUAGUAUGGUGCAGCCCAACACUCCCCAACCAAACACACUCAAGCUUUCAACUCAAUAGAGCACCUUAUAAGGAACUACAUAAUAUUGGAAGUAUGUGUUUCAGCACAAUCAGGUACUGUGUUAUCUCGACAGUUUAAGACUUAAAAGAGAAACUCUUUCUUCUUUCUUCUUGCCUGAUUUCCCUUAAACUCUUUCCCCUAGGAAAAGGAUAUUGUUUAUCUUCCCCCAUGUUGAUGACUCCAAUAACCUGUGUUGAAAGUUUGCAGAAUUGCAUUGCCA
This is a long non-coding RNA of Panthera uncia (snow leopard), 754 nucleotides long. RefSeq lists it as uncharacterized. The transcript has 3 exons. Lineage: Eukaryota; Metazoa; Chordata; Mammalia; Carnivora; Felidae. The record is from RefSeq and is a predicted model, not a curated record.